This 465-nucleotide ribosomal RNA is filed under the name uncultured bacterium. RNAcentral describes it as "bacterial SSU rRNA". It matches the Rfam family "Bacterial small subunit ribosomal RNA", at positions 338 to 795 of the family's 1533-position model. The record is from RNAcentral.
CCUACGGGAUGCAGCAGUGGGGAAUAUUGCACAAUGGGGGAAACCCUGAUGCAGCCAUGCCGCGUGUAUGAAGAAGGCCUUCGGGUUGUAAAGUACUUUCAGUAGGGAGGAAGGCAGUGUCGUUAAUAGCGGCAUUGUUUGACGUUACCUACAGAAGAAGCACCGGCUAACUCCGUGCCAGCAGCCGCGGUAAUACGGAGGGUGCGAGCGUUAAUCGGAAUUACUGGGCGUAAAGCGCAUGCAGGCGGUCUGUUAAGCAAGAUGUGAAAGCCCGGGGCUUAACCUCGGAAUUGCAUUUGAAACUGGCAGGCUAGAGUCUUGUAGAGGGGGGUAGAAUUUCAGGUGUAGCGGUGAAAUGCGUAGAGAUCUGAAGGAAUACCAGUGGCGAAGGCGGCCCCCUGGACAAAGACUGACGCUCAGAUGCGAAAGCGUGGGGAGCAAACAGGAUUAGAUACCCCCGUAGUC